AUGAACGCUAGCGAUAGGCUUAACACAUGCAAGUCAGGGGCAUCACAUGAGUAGCAAUACGAUGGUGGCACGGCGCACGGGUGAGUAACACGUAUGCAACCUACCCAUGACAGAGGGAUAACCCGUCGAAAGGCGGACUAAUACCGCAUAACAACGAUAUGCUGCAUGGCAUAUUGUCAAAGAUUUAUCGGUCAUGGAUGGGCAUGCGUUCCAUUAGGUAGUUGGCGGGGCAACGGCCCACCAAGCCUACGAUGGAUAGGGGUUCUGAGAGGAAGGUCCCCCACACUGGUACUGAGACACGGACCAGACUCCUACGGGAGGCAGCAGUGAGGAAUAUUGGUCAAUGGGCGAGAGCCUGAACCAGCCAAAUCGCGUGAAGGAAGAAGGUAUUAUGUAUCGUAAACUUCUUUUGUCAGGGAAUAAAGUGCACCACGUGUGGUGUUUUGUAUGUACCUGAAGAAUAAGGAUCGGCUAACUCCGUG
This 482-nucleotide ribosomal RNA is filed under the name uncultured bacterium. RNAcentral describes it as "bacterial SSU rRNA". It matches the Rfam family "Bacterial small subunit ribosomal RNA", at positions 29 to 507 of the family's 1533-position model. The record is from RNAcentral.